AGUAACAAGCGGGCACUCAAUGUGGACAUCCCCAUCACUCUUGUGGCUGGGAAGAACACAAUUGAUCUUCUUAGUUUGACUGUCGGACUUCAGAACUACGGAUCUUUUUUUGACAUAUGGGGAGCCGGAAUCACUGGUCCAGUUAUAUUGAAAGGUUUGAAGAAUGGCAACACUUUUGAUCUCUCUUCUCAGAAGUGGACUUAUUAGGUUGGCCUCAAAGGUGAAGAUUUAGGUCUAUCUAGUGGAAGUUUCGGACAGUGGAACUCGUAAUCUACCUUGCCUAAGAACCAACCAUUCAUUUGGUACAAGACGAAUUUUGCUGCUCCAUCUGGAAGUAAUCCGGUUGCAAUUGACUUCACCAGAAUGGGAAAAUGCGAGGCUUGGGUUAAUAGACAGAGCAUU
Long non-coding RNA from Arachis duranensis, 402 nucleotides. RefSeq lists it as uncharacterized. The record is from RefSeq and is a predicted model, not a curated record. The transcript is spliced from 3 exons. NCBI's taxonomy places the organism in Eukaryota, Viridiplantae, Streptophyta, Magnoliopsida, Fabales, Fabaceae.